RNAcentral lists this ribosomal RNA (163 nucleotides) under uncultured archaeon. RNAcentral's name for it is "partial 16S ribosomal RNA". It matches the Rfam family "Archaeal small subunit ribosomal RNA", at positions 319 to 480 of the family's 1478-position model. The record is from RNAcentral.
GCCCUUACGGGGUGCAGCAGGCGCGAAACCUCCACAAUGUACGAAAGUGCGAUGGGGGAAUCCCAGGUGUUAUUCUUAACAGAAUAGCUUUUCAUUAGUGUAAAAAGCUUUUAGAAUAAGAGCUGGGCAAGACCGGUGCCAGCCGCCGCGGUAAUUCAAGGGC